This 258-nucleotide ribosomal RNA is filed under the name uncultured archaeon. Its description in RNAcentral is "partial 16S ribosomal RNA". It matches the Rfam family "Archaeal small subunit ribosomal RNA", at positions 728 to 982 of the family's 1478-position model. The record is from RNAcentral.
AUUAGAUACCCGGGUAGUCCUAGGCGUAAAUGAUGCGAGUUAAGUGGUGGGGGCAUCUACGAGAUGGCCCUGUGCUGUAGGGUAGACCGUUAAACUCGCUGCCGUGGGGAGUACGGUCGCAAGGCUAGAAACUUAAAGGAAUUGGCGGGGAGCACCACAAGAGGUGGAGGCUGCGGUUCAAUUGGACUCAACGCCGGAAAACUCAUCGGGAGCGACAGCAGUAUGAUUGCCAGGUUGAUGACCUUGCUUGACAAGCUG